CCUACGGGAGGCAGCAGUGGGGAAUAUUGGACAAUGGGCGAAAGCCUGAUCCAGCCAUGCCGCGUGUGUGAAGAAGGCCUUCGGGUUGUAAAGCACUUUCAGUGGGGAAGAAAGCCUUGGGGCUAAUACCCUCGAGGAAGGACAUCACCCACAGAAGAAGCACCGGCUAACUCCGUGCCAGCAGCCGCGGUAAUACGGAGGGUGCGAGCGUUAAUCGGAAUUACUGGGCGUAAAGCGCGCGUAGGCGGUCUGAUAAGCCGGUUGUGAAAGCCCCGGGCUCAACCUGGGAACGGCAUCCGGAACGGUCAGGCUAGAGUGCAGGAGAGGUAGGUAGAAUUCCCGGUGUAGCGGUGAAAUGCGUAGAGAUCGGGAGGAAUACCAGUGGCGAAGGCGGCCUUCUGGACUGACACUGACGCUGAGGUGCGAAAGCGUGGGUAGCAAACAGGAUUAGAUACCCGUGUAGUC
Molecule: ribosomal RNA, 465 nt
Filed under: Vreelandella stevensii
Lineage: Bacteria; Pseudomonadati; Pseudomonadota; Gammaproteobacteria; Oceanospirillales; Halomonadaceae
Description: partial 16S ribosomal RNA
Rfam family: Bacterial small subunit ribosomal RNA
Source: RNAcentral